AUCAAAACCAAGAAAUAAGAAUCAAAAGCAAGAAACAACAAACACUUCAAAGUUAAAAUCGAACACAUUCGAAUAUCCGUAAAGUAUCGAAUCAAAGCAAAUUGCAUAGUGUGAUAUCCGUAAAAAGGAACAAAUCACAUAUACUAUUUUCUAAAAGCCAAAUAUCCCAUCCAAUCCGUAAAUUUAUAGAUAUAUAAUGUAAUUGUAUAUACAAAAAUUUAUAUCCAUACAUAUUUUAUAUGAAAAAUUACACUCAGUAACCAAAACAAAAAACCAUAAUUCACUAACUAACCAAACUUACAGUUUCUCUCCUCUUUUCUCUUACUAUCUCUAUCUACCCUC
Molecule: long non-coding RNA, 342 nt
Filed under: Brassica napus (rape)
Lineage: Eukaryota; Viridiplantae; Streptophyta; Magnoliopsida; Brassicales; Brassicaceae
Description: long non-coding RNA (BNAP_LNC017499)
Source: RNAcentral